UUGGACGCUGGCGGCAUGCCUUACACAUGCAAGUCGAACGGUAACAGGUCUUCGGAUGCUGACGAGUGGCGAACGGGUGAGUAAUACAUCGGAACGUGCCCGAUCGUGGGGGAUAACGCAGCGAAAGCUGUGCUAAUACCGCAUACGAUCUACGGAUGAAAGCAGGGGACCGCAAGGCCUUGCGCGGACGGAGCGGCCGAUGGCAGAUUAGGUAGUUGGUGGGAUAAAAGCUUACCAAGCCGACGAUCUGUAGCUGGUCUGAGAGGACGACCAGCCACACUGGGACUGAGACACGGCCCAGACUCCUACGGGAGGCAGCAGUGGGGAAUUUUGGACAAUGGGCGCAAGCCUGAUCCAGCCAUUCCGCGUGCAGGAUGAAGGCCUUCGGGUUGUAAACUGCUUUUGUACGGAACGAAAAGGCUCUGGUGAAUACCUGGGGCUCAUGACGGUACCGUAAGAAUAAGCACCGGCUAACUACGU
This 480-nucleotide ribosomal RNA is filed under the name uncultured bacterium. Its description in RNAcentral is "bacterial SSU rRNA". It matches the Rfam family "Bacterial small subunit ribosomal RNA", at positions 30 to 506 of the family's 1533-position model. The record is from RNAcentral.